UAGCUGCGAUAUGUAGCCCGAAUUGCAAACCUGUGGAGGGCUAAAAUUUCGAACGCAAAUGGCGCCGUCGGGUUACUCCCGUCGGCACGUCUGUCUGAGUGUUGGUCUGUCUCAAACGCAAGCAUCUUCGUGAUGCUGCGUGAUCAUUUUUGUGAGUGACGCACCCGCGUCUCUUAUUGCCGCUGUAUUCCUAUAAAAAUGGAGCACUAGUCGUUGUGUGCCUUGCUUGGUUCGUUGGCCGGGCUUGUCGUGCGUAGCGUACUUGUAUAGCUCUUUCGCUGACCUCAGAUCAGGCGUGACUCCCCGCUGAACUUAA
RNAcentral lists this unclassified non-coding RNA (316 nucleotides) under uncultured fungus. RNAcentral describes it as "sequence contains ITS1". The stretch from base 1 to 104 matches the Rfam family "5.8S ribosomal RNA", at positions 50 to 154 of the family's 154-position model. Lineage: Eukaryota; Fungi. The record is from RNAcentral.